AACUAGUCCUCCUUCGGGCAAUUUUCAAGGUGCUGCAUGAUUGUCGUCAGCUCGUGCCGUGAGGUGUUGGGUUAAGUCCCGCAACGAGCGCAACCCCUACUGUUAGUUGCCAGCAUGUAAUGAUGGGGACUCUAGCAGAACUGCCAGCGCAAGCUGUGAGGAAGGUGGGGAUGACGUCAAAUCAUCACGGCCCUUACGUCCUGGGCUACACACGUGCUACAAUGGUCGAUACAGAGGGCAGCCACCUGGUGACAGGGAGCAAAUCCUUAAAAUCGAUCUCAGUUCGGAUUGGAGUCUGCAACUCGACUCUAUGAAGCUGGAAUCGCUAGUAAUCGCAUAUCAGCCAUGAUGCGGUGAAUACGUUCCCGGGCCUUGUACACACCGCCCGUCAAGCCAUGGAAGUUGGGGGUGCCUGAAAACCGUAACCGUAAGGAGCGGUCUAGGGUAAACUUGAUAACUGGGGUUAAGUCGUAACAAGGUAACCGU
RNAcentral lists this ribosomal RNA (486 nucleotides) under uncultured Bacteroidota bacterium. RNAcentral describes it as "bacterial SSU rRNA". It matches the Rfam family "Bacterial small subunit ribosomal RNA", at positions 1005 to 1503 of the family's 1533-position model. The record is from RNAcentral. Lineage: Bacteria; Pseudomonadati; Bacteroidota.